GCUCCCCAGUGUGCCAGCAACGCCGGUGCCAGGCUAAUUUCUUAAGACAGCCUGUAAAGAAGCCCUCCUGCCUGCCCCGCUCUGGGGUUUGACUGGUGGCACAGCCAUCCUUCCCUCAGAGCCACAGAGAAAGCAAAACAGUAACAGCCGGAGAGUUUAUUCCUUCAGGAACUGCUCAGAGAUUUCCUGGAAGCUGCAACACCACCAGCCAUCCCUGGCUGGCUUCCAGGAUGGGAUGAAGGCAAACCAAGCCAGACACUCUUGCGGCAGGUUAGGAUGAAUCCAGACCCGAUUCUGAGCCCUGUGCUGCCUGCAGGAGCAUCUCCCAUCCGCAGAACCACCACGGCUUUCCCGACAAGAGCAACACGACAUCAAGGUUUUUCCACUGUGCCUAAUAAUCGUAACAUCUCACUCGCCAUUUGGCUCGUCAGUGGGGGUUCCUGA
Molecule: long non-coding RNA, 444 nt
Organism: Pipra filicauda (Wire-tailed manakin)
Lineage: Eukaryota; Metazoa; Chordata; Aves; Passeriformes; Pipridae
Exons: 3
Source: RefSeq, a predicted model, not a curated record